Long non-coding RNA from Anguilla anguilla (European eel), 610 nucleotides. RefSeq lists it as uncharacterized. The record is from RefSeq and is a predicted model, not a curated record. NCBI's taxonomy places the organism in Eukaryota, Metazoa, Chordata, Actinopteri, Anguilliformes, Anguillidae. The transcript is spliced from 2 exons.
CCUGCAAGAACUGCAUGGCAAGUUCCUCACCCUCCGCUCCAUGAGGUGUUGCAGCAUUACCAUGGAAGGUUGGGUGUAGUUGCUCUGACAGAAACUUGUCAGGUGUUGUGGUGGGGUGAAUUGGCACCUUUUUAACUGUGCUUGCUGUAAUGUGUACCGUCCGCAUAUCACACCAGAGCUGUUCUUGGCUCUGUGCUUUGGUACGCUGCUCAGUCUCCGUCAGCUGGGUUGUAGGCAUGUGGAUGUAUUCAUUGUAAAAUGUUCUGCAUUUUAAACAAGCCAGUGGUGUGUGAUGCUCAUCAUGGGGUAGGAGCAAUGGAGAUGGUGUUUUUUCCACAGAUUGAGCAGAGGGAUCAGCAUUGAAGCAGAACUGCAGGAGGCCAUUGCCCGGGAAGGUAAAAAAUGCUCCCAUAGAAUCCGGUGGAGACGCAGGACCUUCCUGCUUUGGAGAGGGAUCCCCCCAGCGCUCUCCCGGACGCGUUACUCCUAAUUUUGGUUGCUUUACUUUAAUUUAAUUCUGACAAGAGACUUUAGUGGUUGAGUUUGGUUUUGGGUUUUUGUAUAUAGUUUUUGUUAAAUAAAAGGCCCUGUUGGGCUAUUUUUCCCCAAA